This 1347-nucleotide ribosomal RNA is filed under the name uncultured bacterium. RNAcentral describes it as "bacterial SSU rRNA". It matches the Rfam family "Bacterial small subunit ribosomal RNA", at positions 28 to 1381 of the family's 1533-position model. The record is from RNAcentral.
GACGAGCGCUGGCGGCGUGCUUAACACAUGCGAGUCGAACGAUGAGGCCUAGCUUGCUAGGUGGAUUAGUGGCGAACGGGGGAGUAAUACGUGAGUAACCUACCUUGAACUCUGGGAUAAGCCUGGGAAACUGGGGCUAAUACCGGAUACGACCAAUCUCCGCAUGGGGUGUUGGUGGAAAGCGGUAUGUAGUGGUUAUAGAUGGGCUCGCGGCCUAUCAGCUUGUUGGUGAGGUAACGGCUCACCAAGGCGACGACGGGUAGCCGGCCUGAGAGGGUGACCGGCCACACUGGGACUGAGACACGGCCCAGACUCCUACGGGAGGCAGCAGUGGGGAAUAUUGCACAAUGGGCGCAAGCCUGAUGCAGCGACGCCGCGUGAGGGAUGACGGCCUUCGGGUUGUAAACCUCUGUUAGCAGGGAAGGAGAGAGAUUGACGGUACCUGCAGAGAAAGCGCCGGCUAACUACGUGCCAGCAGCCGCGGUAAUACGUAGGGCGCGAGCGUUGUCCGGAAUUAUUGGGCGUAAAGAGCUUGUAGGCGGUUUGUCGCGUCUGCUGUGAAGGCCGGAGCUUAACUCCGUGUAUUGCAGUGGGUACGGGCAGACUAGAGUGCAGUAGGGGGGACUGGAAUUCCUGGUGUAGCGGUGGAAUGCGCAGAUAUCAGGAGGAACACCGAUGGCGAAGGCAGGUCUCUGGGCUGUAACUGACGCUGAGAAGCGAAAGCAUGGGGAGCGAACAGGAUUAGAUACCCUGGUAGUCCAUGCCGUAAACGUUGGGCACUAGGUGUGGGGAACAUUCCACGUUUUCCGCGCCGUAGCUAACGCAUUAAGUGCCCCGCCUGGGGAGUACGGCCGCAAGGCUAAAACUCAAAGAAAUUGACGGGGGCCCGCACAAGCGGCGGAGCAUGCGGAUUAAUUCGAUGCAACGCGAAGAACCUUACCAAGGCUUGACAUAUACUGGACCGCAUCAGAGAUGGUGUUUCCCUUCGGGGCUGGUAUACAGGUGGUGCAUGGUUGUCGUCAGCUCGUGUCGUGAGAUGUUGGGUUAAGUCCCGCAACGAGCGCAACCCUCGUUCUAUGUUGCCAGCACGUUAUGGUGGGGACUCAUAGGAGACUGCCGGGGUCAACUCGGAGGAAGGUGGGGAUGACGUCAAAUCAUCAUGCCCCUUAUGUCUUGGGCUUCACGCAUGCUACAAUGGCCGGUACAGAGGGUUGCGAUACUGUGAGGUGGAGCUAAUCCCUAAAAGCCGGUCUCAGUUCGGAUUGGGGUCUGCAACUCGACCCCAUGAAGUCGGAGUCGCUAGUAAUCGCAGAUCAGCAACGCUGCGGUGAAUACGUUCCCGGGCCU